GGGGUCCCAGGCCGAUUCCUUCAGCAAAUGCAGUCCUUGCAUCUCCCAGCUUUCAAAACUCUGCCAGGCUUGGAAUACCACCGUCCAAAGAUGAGACUCAUAUGUUCCUUCUUCCUCAUUCAUCUGAAGCAAGAAUGGAAGAUAUGAUGGGAGAUCAUGAACAUGACAUCAAGUGGCCUAAUGGAUUGACAUUCUUCAAUGCUCUCACCGGACGAAGUGACGAUGCUAAGCUUUUGUUCAAUCCUGAUGGUUUAGGUAGCAAGGCAGAGCAAAAUCAUCAUCCAAAUCCAAAUUCAGAUGCUUCAAGUUUGCAUAACAGUAGCGGUGCAAAUCCAAACGAGUUCUUGAGCUUGGAUAGCCAUCCAGAUAGCGUUAGGAAGAUGGAGAAUAAGUUCAAGAGGAGCUUUACAUUGCCUGCAAGAAUGAAUUCAUCUUCCUCAUCCACCUCACUAGAUCACCAUCAACAUAAUCCUGGAGAGUAUAGGAAUGAAGCAGGGAUGUAUUCUGAUGUCAUGGAAACUUUCCUGGAGUAAUUUGGCAAGGAUUGUAUGAGGGCAUUAAGGGUGCAA
Molecule: long non-coding RNA, 569 nt
Filed under: Coffea arabica (coffee)
Lineage: Eukaryota; Viridiplantae; Streptophyta; Magnoliopsida; Gentianales; Rubiaceae
Description: long non-coding RNA (CARA_LNC003593)
Source: RNAcentral